This 468-nucleotide ribosomal RNA is filed under the name uncultured bacterium. RNAcentral describes it as "partial 16S ribosomal RNA". It matches the Rfam family "Bacterial small subunit ribosomal RNA", at positions 28 to 507 of the family's 1533-position model. The record is from RNAcentral.
GACGAACGCUGGCGGCGUGCUUAACACAUGCAAGUCGAACGAAAAGGCCCUGCUUUUGUGGGGUGCUCGAGUGGCGAACGGGUGAGUAACACGUGAGUAACCUGCCCUUGACUUUGGGAUAACUUCAGGAGACUGGGGCGCAUACCGGAUAGGAGCUCCUGCUGCAUGGUGGGGGUUGGAAAGUUUCGGCGGUUGGGGAUGGACUCGCGGCUUAUCAGCUUGUUGGUGGGGUAGGGGCUUACCAAGGCUUUGACGGGUAGCCGGCCUGAGAGGGUGACCGGCGACAUUGCGACUGAGAGACGGCCCAGACGCGUACGGGAGGCAGCGGUGGGGAAUAUUGCAGAAUGGGCGGAAGCCUGAUGCAGCAACGCCGCGUGCGGGAUGACGGGCUUCGGGUUGUAAACCGCUUUCGCCUGUGACGAAGCGUGAGUGACGGUAAUGGGUAAAGAAGCACCGGCUAACUACGUG